AUGGUUCCAACGUAGACAUGGCCGAUCCGGGUCAAAGUGUACUAUUUGUUCUUAUCAGCUUAAUAUCUAAUGCGGGUUGUAUUUGGACCCAAAAUAUUAAACUUAUUUUUGCAAGUUCGUGGAAUGCUUGAAGCCUUCUUCACAUCAGCCGCGGGUCGGCCCGGUAUUGCACUAUGUUCGAGAUCGGCCCUUGGUUU
Molecule: small nuclear RNA, 197 nt
Organism: Dermacentor silvarum
Lineage: Eukaryota; Metazoa; Arthropoda; Arachnida; Ixodida; Ixodidae
Product: U2 spliceosomal RNA
Exons: 1
Source: RefSeq, a predicted model, not a curated record